RNAcentral lists this long non-coding RNA (708 nucleotides) under Equus caballus (horse). RNAcentral's name for it is "lncRNA (ENSECAG00000041929.2)". Lineage: Eukaryota; Metazoa; Chordata; Mammalia; Perissodactyla; Equidae. The record is from RNAcentral.
GUUCUGGUUCGGUUGGUGCCUCUAGCAAGGCUGGGGAACCCGCUGCCGUGCGGGUCUCUUGUUCUGUACGGCACUCAAACAGGCCUCAGAGAUGGAGAGUCUGCAUGGCUGGGAAGGGGCCUUCGAUCCUCCUUUAUCUUCUGCUUCCAGGUACAUAGAAUCACCUGGCUUGUUGUGGGGAGAGAAAGGACCCUUUUUUCCAGCGUCUCUUAGCUCAUUUCUGAGAGGAAGAAUUAGUAUUCGGGUCAGAUUCCAGGACACAUAUCUAUCAGAGGGAGCUGAGGACAAUGGGCACAACACCUCAAAGAGAAGCCUCUACCCCAGCCUCGUGAGAGACCUCAGACCCUCAGCUGCAGCUGAAACAGGGCAAGCCACCUCCUGAGGAAGGAAGCCUUUGUAACACCAGACCCAGGAUGUCAGAGAAUGGGGGAAGACGCCCGAGGAGGGAAGCUGUGGCUGGGUGGUGGUGUCACUCAUAACCCUGAUUCCCAGGGUCACCAAGGCCAACAAGUUGUCAAUGAAGCAGUAGUCUUUCCCAGGCUGUGCAGAGCCCCCAGCCACGCCUCCUCCUGUCCUCGCAGGUGUUGGCCUCUCUGCUGGGCCCCAGAGGGACGAUGGGAAAGGAAGAAGAGGAUGACCUUAUUUCUAGAAACUCUUAUCAGUGCAGAAGAAAGUGGAGAGAGCACAUGGACUCCAGCAGAACCAGGG